GAUAAACGCUAGCGGCAGGCUUAACACAUGCAAGUCGAGGGGCAGCAUAGAUUGUAGCAAUACAAUUGGUGGCGACCGGCGCACGGGUGCGUAACGCGUAUGCAACCUACCCGUCACAGGGGGAUAAUCCGGAGAAAUCUGGUCUAAUACCCCAUAACAUAUGGAUCGGCAUCGGUUCAUGUUGAAAUUUUCGGAGGUGACGGAUGGGCAUGCGUAGCAUUAGCUUGUUGGUGAGGUAACGGCUCACCAAGGCGACGAUGCUUAGGGGGACUGAGAGGUUUGCCCCCCACACUGGUACUGGGACACGGACCAGACUCCUACGGGAGGCAGCAGUGAGGAAUAUUGGUCAAUGGGCGCAAGCCUGAACCAGCCAUGCCGCGUGCAGGAUGACGGCUCUAUGAGUUGUAAACUGCUUUUGUACGAGGGUAAAGUGGGUUACGUGUAACCUUUUGAAGGUAUCGUACGAAUAAGGAUCGGCUAACUCCGUGCCAGCCGCCGCCGUAA
Molecule: ribosomal RNA, 504 nt
Filed under: uncultured bacterium
Lineage: Bacteria
Description: partial 16S ribosomal RNA
Rfam family: Bacterial small subunit ribosomal RNA
Source: RNAcentral